GAGCAAAGGCGUCUUAUCAAUGGCGCAAUUUGCAUUGAAGGUUGGCGACAACUAACCAAGCGAUUCUCCGUGCCUUCCAAAUCUCUUAAUUUUGAGUUUGGCCUCGAACAAGUCGCUACAUU
Argentina anserina (silverweed cinquefoil) is the source of this 122-nucleotide small nucleolar RNA. The record is from RefSeq and is a predicted model, not a curated record. NCBI's taxonomy places the organism in Eukaryota, Viridiplantae, Streptophyta, Magnoliopsida, Rosales, Rosaceae.